GUGGGGAAUUUUGGACAAUGGGCGAAAGCCUGAUCCAGCCAUGCCGCGUGCAGGAUGAAGGCCUUCGGGUUGUAAACUGCUUUUGUACGGAACGAAACGGCUCUUUCUAAUAAAGGGGGCUAAUGACGGUACCGUAAGAAUAAGCACCGGCUAACUACGUGCCAGCAGCCGCGGUAAUACGUAGGGUGCGAGCGUUAAUCGGAAUUACUGGGCGUAAAGCGUGCGCAGGCGGUGAUGUAAGACAGAUGUGAAAUCCCCGGGCUCAACCUGGGAACUGCAUUUGUGACUGCAUCGCUGGAGUGCGGCAGAGGGGGAUGGAAUUCCGCGUGUAGCAGUGAAAUGCGUAGAUAUGCGGAGGAACACCGAUGGCGAAGGCAAUCCCCUGGGCCUGCACUGACGCUCAUGCACGAAAGCGUGGGGAGCAAACAGGAUUAGAUACCCUUGUAGUCC
This 450-nucleotide ribosomal RNA is filed under the name uncultured bacterium. RNAcentral describes it as "partial 16S ribosomal RNA". It matches the Rfam family "Bacterial small subunit ribosomal RNA", at positions 354 to 796 of the family's 1533-position model. The record is from RNAcentral.